Myodes glareolus (Bank vole) is the source of this 810-nucleotide long non-coding RNA. RefSeq lists it as uncharacterized. NCBI's taxonomy places the organism in Eukaryota, Metazoa, Chordata, Mammalia, Rodentia, Cricetidae. The record is from RefSeq and is a predicted model, not a curated record.
UUCCACGUAAUUAGGUAAUCUUCAACCACUUCAAAGAGUUGUAGAAUAUGGCAUUUAAACAACUUAGGGUUCUGUUGACAUGAGACAUGAUUGUUUUUGGCAGCACCCAUCUCUUCCCUAGAAAUAUUGGGCACUAAAGACAUUUCACUUGGAGCUUGCUUUCUUCUUGGCAAAACUAGCCUUUGGGCAAAAAAAUCACUGUUGCCUGAACACUGACAAAAUCCACGGAGUCCAGACUAGACUAGUAGAAUACAAGCAAAAUGACUGCUAAACCUUGCCAAGAGAAGGACAAGACAGAAGUAAAGAUGAACAGGAUUAGUUGGCGCUCUGGACUACCAUCAUCCUCUGUCUGCGCUUUGUGGGGCAAGUGCCUGGCAGGAACAUCCUGGAAAAGCUUCAUGGCAGACAAGAACAGAAGAGAACUUGUGGGCAGGCUUGUCUCCAAGACGUACAAAGGCAUCACUAACCUGGAUUGAACCUGGGUUGAGGUCAAAGGGCAAGGAGAGUGCUGAAAUCAUGUUUGCCACUAAAUACACAGGGAAGAAGGGACCAACAGAGCAGAAAAUGUUUCUCUUUAACACUGUAAGUAUUUGGUAAUGCUAAGAAUGAAUGUAUGUAUGCAACAAACAUGAACUAAAUCAAUAAUAGUGUGUAAACAUUUUCUAAUUGUCUUACUUUUAUUAUUAGCUUAUUCAUUGUACAGUGGGUUUCAUUAUAGCUUCAUACAUUUGUGUCUGAAAUGUGUUUCAAUUACCCCCAUUGCCAUAUCUUGUCCCCUCAGCCACUCCUGUUGCUUUUUCUCCCUCUAGC